GAAGUUGAAGUGAUCUGUUUGUUUAAGCUAGGGUGGAAGGUAUUGCAAACAGGUGUCUUCAAGAGCUGGUGGAGAGGAAUAAAGAAGGAUGAAGGUCCUCCUAAGAGGACUUGAAGGAGCCAGGCUCUUGAGCAAUCCUUCUUGUGAGUGCAGACCUCUUACAUGCACGGUCACAUCCAUUGCCCAGGUUUGAGGUUCACCACAGACCUCGGACGUGGGUGGGCAUGUCACCAGUUUCUGCUGAGAUAUAAUUCUGAGGGAUGACCCCACUUGUCUAAGGCCACAGAACAGGGAACUGGUUCCUGGAUUGAGAUGGACUAACCCCAGGUCUAGGAUUCUUUCUAUCCCUGAUAGCACUGUGUCCUCUAGCAAAGACAAGGGGCCCUAAUCCUCCAUAAAUAGAAGGAAAAUGGUAGAGGAGACUGAAGAGACAGGAAGAUUGAGUUUCAGGGACAGUGGUAGGGUGAGGAGGAGGAGGAAGAUCUGCUCAGGAUCGCCCAGCAGCUGACGGGGGCAACAGGAGUUGAGGACACGAGUUCACAAUGGAUCAAGUCACAAGCUCUAUUGACUUCUGGUGAGAGAAUUAUCACAUGGACCCUUUCUUUUCAUGAAAGUCAAGAAAAUACUAAUAUCCAGGCUGAUGAGCCCUCUCCAUGGAGAGUGUGCUCUCUCACACCUCAGACAAGUCUUGGCACUAGGCUAGACUCCAUAACACUCUCCCAUCGAGCAUUGGCAUGACAUUCCUUUGCUGCAGGCAGCUGCCCAGAGGAUUCCUUCAUUAUAAUCUUUCUGUGAAUGAUUCGGGGGACCAGGUCAGGGGGCUUUGAGAUCUGCUGAGAGUCGCAACUGAACCAGGAAAGAAGGGAGAAUUUGGAGUCAAGCUUGGUUUGGACACCUGGAGACACUCCCAGCCCAUAGUUCUGUU
Molecule: non-coding RNA, 925 nt
Organism: Manis javanica (Malayan pangolin)
Lineage: Eukaryota; Metazoa; Chordata; Mammalia; Pholidota; Manidae
Source: RefSeq, a predicted model, not a curated record